This is a non-coding RNA of Eublepharis macularius, 72 nucleotides long. Lineage: Eukaryota; Metazoa; Chordata; Lepidosauria; Squamata; Eublepharidae. The record is from the annotation of a RefSeq genome assembly.
GGAGGCGUGGCUCAGUGGUAGAAUACCUGCUUUCCAUGCAGAAGGUCCCAGGUUCAAUCCCUGGCACCUCCA